UACGUAGGGUGCAAGCGUUGUCCGGAAUUAUUGGGCGUAAAGAGCUCGUAGGCGGCUCGUCGCGUCGGCUGUGAAAACCCGGAGCUCAACUCCGGGCCUGCAGUCGAUACGGGCGGACUCGAGUUCGGCAGGGGAGACUGGAAUUCCUGGUGUAGCGGUGAAAUGCGCAGAUAUCAGGAGGAACACCGGUGGAGAAGGCGGGUCUCUGGGCCGAUACUGACGCUGAGGAGCGAAAGCGUGGGGAGCGAACAGG
RNAcentral lists this ribosomal RNA (253 nucleotides) under uncultured bacterium. Its description in RNAcentral is "partial 16S ribosomal RNA". It matches the Rfam family "Bacterial small subunit ribosomal RNA", at positions 524 to 776 of the family's 1533-position model. The record is from RNAcentral.